GGUCGGGAGUACGAAGGUCAUACAAUACCCUAACGGGAAAAGCCUUCUACCGACUAUGGACGGUUGAGAGCUCCCGACCUUCUUUCU
RNAcentral lists this non-coding RNA (87 nucleotides) under Halodesulfovibrio spirochaetisodalis. RNAcentral's name for it is "sRNA-Xcc1". It matches the Rfam family "sRNA-Xcc1". The record is from Rfam by way of RNAcentral. Lineage: Bacteria; Pseudomonadati; Thermodesulfobacteriota; Desulfovibrionia; Desulfovibrionales; Desulfovibrionaceae.